CACUAAAGCCCAUGAGACUUGUAGUAUUUAAAAAUAUUUUCAUUUUUGAUGAGACGCUAAAUAAAACAAGUUUAAUCGCCAGCAAACGAAAACCUGCGAUUUCCCGUAAAUCCCGGACUCGGCCCGUAUAAUCAAAAGUAUACAAAGAAAGUACCCGGGGUGUAAACUCAUUUCCCGAACGAUUUUUUAAAUUAUUAUUUCACCACUAAAGCCCAUGAGACUUGUAGUUUUUAAAAAUGUUUUCAUUUUUGAUGAGACGCUGAAUAAAAGAGGUUUAAUCGCUGGCAAACGAAAUCCCGCGAUUUCCCGUAAAUCCGGGGCUUGGCCCGUAUAGUCGAAUGUAUACAAAGAAAGUACCCAGGAAGUAAACUCAUUUCCCGAACGAUUUUUUAAAUUAUUAUUUCACCACUAAAGCCCAUGAGACUUGUAGUAUUUAAAAAUAUUUUCAUUUUUGAUGAGACGCUGAAUAAAAGAAGUUUAAUCGCCGGCAAACAAAAACCCGCGACUUCCCUUAAAUCCCGGACUCGGCCCGUAUAUCAAAAGUAUACAAAGAAAGUACCCAGGGAGUAAAAUCAUUUCCCACACGAUUUUUUAAAUUAUUAUUUCACCACUAAAGCCCAUGAGACUUGUAGUUUUCAAAGAUGUUUUCAUUUUUGAUGAGACGCUGAAUAAAAGAAGUUUAAUCGCCGCAAACGAAAACCUGCGAUUUUCCGUAAAUCCCGGCAUCGGCCCGUAUAGUCAAAAGUAUACAAAGAAAGUACCCGGGGUGUAAAUUCAUUUCCCGAACGAUUUUUUAAAUUAUUAUUUCACCACUAAAGCCCAUGGGACUUGUAGUAUGUAAAAAUAUUUUCAUUUUUGAUGAGACGCUAAAUAAAAGAAGUUUAAUCGCCGGCAAACGAAAACCUGCGAUUUCCCGUAAAUCCCUGACUCGGCCCGUAUAGUCAAAAGUAUACAAAGAAAGUACCCGGGGUGUAAACUCAUUUCCCGAACGAUUUUUUAAAUUAUUAUUUCACCACUAAAGCCCAUGAGACUUGUAGUAUUUAAAAAUAUUUUCAUUUUUGAUGAGACGCUAAAUAAAACAAGUUUAAUCGCCAGCAAACGAAAACCUGCGAUUUCCCGUAAAUCCCGGACUCGGCCCGUAUAAUCAAAAGUAUACAAAGAAAGUACCCGGGGUGUAAACUCAUUUCCCGAACGAUUUUUUAAAUUAUUAUUUCACCACUAAAGCCCAUGAGACUUGUAGUUUUUAAAAAUGUUUUCAUUUUUGAUGAGACGCUGAAUAAAAGAGGUUUAAUCGCUGGCAAACGAAAUCCCGCGAUUUCCCGUAAAUCCGGGGCUUGGCCCGUAUAGUCGAAUGUAUACAAAGAAAGUACCCAGGAAGUAAACACAUUUCCCGAACGAUUUUUUAAAUUAUUAUUUCACCACUAAAGCCCAUGAGACUUGUAGUAUUUAAAAAUAUUUUCAUUUUUGAUGAGACGCUGAAUAAAAGAAGUUUAAUCGCCGGCAAACAAAAACCCGCGACUUCCCUUAAAUCCCGGACUCGGCCCGUAUAGUCAAAAGUAUACAAGGAAAGUACCCAGUGAGUAAACUCAUUUCCCGAACGAAUUUUUAAAUUAUUUUUUCACCACUAUAACCCAUGAGACUUGUAGUUUUCAGAAAUGUUUUCAUUUUUGAUGAGACGCUUAAUGAAAGUGGUUUAAUUGCCGGCAAACGAAAACCCGCGAUUUCCCGUAAAUCCCGGGCUUGGCCCGUAUAGUCGAAUGUAUACAAAGAAAGUACCCUGUGAGUAAACUCAUUUCCAAAACGAUUUUUUAAAUUAUCUUUUCACCACUAAAACGCUUGAGACUUGUAGUUUUCAAAAAUGUUUUCAUUUUUGGUGAGACGCUAAAUAAAAGAAGUUUAAUCGCCGACAAACGAAAACCCGCCAUUUCCCGUAAACCCCGGACUCGGUCCGCAUAGUCAAAAGUAUACAAAGAAAGUACCCAGUGAGUAAACUCAUUUCCCGAACGAUUUUUUAAAUUAUUAUUUCACCACUAAAGCCCAUGUGACUUGUAGUAUUUAAAAAUAUUUUCAUUUUUGAUGAAACGCUGAAUAAAAGAAGUUUAAUCGCCGGCAAACAAAAACCCGCGACUUCCCGUAAAUCCCGGACUCGAACCGUAUAGUCAAAAGUAUACAAAGAAAGUACCCAGGGAGUAAACUCAUUUCCCGAACGAUUUUUUAAAUUAUUUUUUCACCACUAAAACGCAUGAUACUUGUAGUUUUCAAAGAUGUUUUCAUUUUUGAUGAGACGCUGAAUAAAAGAAAUUUAAUCGCCGCAAACGAAAACCUGCGAUUUCCCGUAAAUCCCGUACUCGGCCCGUAUAGUCAAAAGUAUACAAAGAAAGUACCCGGGGUGUAAACUCAUUUCUCGAACGAUUUUUUAAAUUAUUAUUUCACCACUAAAACCCAGGAGACUUGUAGUAUUUAAAAAUAUUUUCAUUUUUGAUGAGACGCUAAAAAAACGAAAACCUGCGAUUUCCCGUAAAUCCCCGACUCGGCCCGUAUAGUCAAAAGUACACAAAGAAAGUACCCGGGGUGUAAACUCAUUUCCCGAACGAUUUUUUAAAUUAUUUUUUCACCACUAAAACGCAUGAGACGUGUAGUUUUCAAAAAUGUUUUCAUUUUUGAUGAGACGAUGAAUAAAAGAAGUUUAAUCGCCGGCAAACGAAAACCUGCGAUUUCCCGUAAAUCCCGUACUCGGCCCGUAUAGUCAAAAGUAUACAAAGAAAGUACCCAGGGAGUAAACUCAUUUCCCACACGAUUUUUUAAAUUAUUAUUUCACCACUAAAGCCCAUGAGACUUGUAGUUUUUAAAAAUGUUUUCAUUUUUGAUGAGACGCUGAAUAAAAGAAGUUUAAUCGCCGGCAAACGAAAACCCGCAAUUUCCCGUAAAUCCCGGUCUCGGCCUGUAUAGUCAAAAGUAUACAAGGAAAGUACCCAGUGAGUAAACUCAUUUCCCUAACGAAUUUUUAAAUUAUUUUUUCACCACUAAAACGCAUGAGACUUGUAGUUUUCAUUUUUGAUGAGACGGUGAAUAAAAGAAGUUUAAUCGCCGGCAAACGAAAACCUGCGAUUUCCCGUAAAUCCCGGACUCGGCCCGUAUAGUCAAAAGUAUACAAAGAGAGUACCCAAGGUGUAAACUCAUUUCCCGAACGAUUUUUUAAAUUAUUUUUUCACCACUAAAACGCAUGAGACUUGUAGUUUUCAAAAAUG
This is a long non-coding RNA of Hydractinia symbiolongicarpus, 3248 nucleotides long. RefSeq lists it as uncharacterized. The record is from RefSeq and is a predicted model, not a curated record. NCBI's taxonomy places the organism in Eukaryota, Metazoa, Cnidaria, Hydrozoa, Anthoathecata, Hydractiniidae. The transcript has 2 exons.